UACGGGGGGUGCGAGCGUUGUCCGGAAUCACUGGGCGUAAAGGGCGCGUAGGUGGCUUUGUAAGUUUGCGGUGAAAGCCCGGGGCUCAACCCCGGGUCUGCCGUGGAUACUGCAAGGCUUGAGUACUGUAGAGGCAGGUAGAAUAUCGGGUGUAGCGGUGGAAUGCGUAGAGAUCCGAUAGAAGACCGGUGGCGAAGGCGGCAUGGUGGGCAGUAACUGACACUGAGGCGCGACAGCGUGGGGAGCAAACAGG
This 253-nucleotide ribosomal RNA is filed under the name uncultured bacterium. Its description in RNAcentral is "partial 16S ribosomal RNA". It matches the Rfam family "Bacterial small subunit ribosomal RNA", at positions 524 to 776 of the family's 1533-position model. The record is from RNAcentral.